AUUGAACGCUGGCGGCAUGCCUUACACAUGCAAGUCGAACGGCAGCACGGGGCAACCUGGUGGCGAGUGGCGAACGGGUGAGUAAUGUACCGGAACGUGCCAUUGAGUGGGGGAUAACGUAGCGAAAGUUACGCUAAUACCGCAUAUACCCUGAGGGGGAAAGCAGGGGAUCGCAAGACCUUGUGCUCUUUGAGCGGCCGAUAUCAGGUUAGCUAGUUGGUGAGGUAAAGGCUCACCAAGGCGACGAUCUGUAGCGGGUCUGAGAGGAUGAUCCGCCACACUGGGACUGAGACACGGCCCAGACUCCUACGGGAGGCAGCAGUGGGGAAUUUUGGACAAUGGGCGCAAGCCUGAUCCAGCCGUGCCGCGUGAGUGAAGAAGGCCUUCGGGUUGUAAAGCUCUUUCGGCCGGGAAGAAAUCGUACAGGUUAAUACCCUGUGUGGAUGACGGUACCGGAAUAAGAAGCACCGGCUAACUACGUGCCAGCAGCCGCGGUAA
This 498-nucleotide ribosomal RNA is filed under the name uncultured bacterium. Its description in RNAcentral is "partial 16S ribosomal RNA". It matches the Rfam family "Bacterial small subunit ribosomal RNA", at positions 30 to 523 of the family's 1533-position model. The record is from RNAcentral.